GUUACUGCAGAACCUUGAAAUUCAAAGUUGCCCUAAUUUGGCAUCACUGCCAGAAGGGAUUCGUCGACUCCCCAACUUAAAUACAUUGGGAAUUUGGAGAUGCCCCGUGUUAAGCGAAAGAUGCGAGAAGGAAACAGGGGAGGACUGGCCUAAGAUUGCUCACAUCCCAUCCAUUUCUAUUCAUAAUUUGUAAGAUGACAUACCAUAUACUCAAUGAUUUUGUCCUCACUUUUACUUUCUAGUUGAGCAACACCGAAUCCAAUGCAAAGCAGUGCUGAAACCAAAGACGGUUCAAGCGUUUAGAUGGACACACAUCUUUAUCAGAAGAGACAGAAAUGAUGCGCUGCAUAUAUCGACAAUAAGCUCCAAAGUCCUUGCUGUUGGACAUUCACAGGGAACAAUCAUGUCUUUAGCUGCUCUCACCCAGCCGGACAUAGCAGAACUGGUUGAAUCUGCCUGGUCUUUUAUGUUGAUCAGGUAUUCCUCAUCUUCUUCAAAGUAUACCGCAUGAUUGGCUUCUCUAAUAGAAUUGAUGAUCUGUUCAUCUUUUCAGAUGAUUCUUUUUACUCAAUGUUAUGAGAUUUUAGUAGUAGUAAUUUUGAUAUCUUCUGUUACAUUAUGUGUGGUGAAUGGGGCAUCAACUUUUUGGAUUCAAUAUGUGAUGGCCAUGUUGACUGCUCGGAGUGGUUGUAUAUGAAUUUGCUUUUGAUUAACGGGUUUGGAUACUAUGUCCCCCCGUUGUAUGUUUUUGAUCAAGUAAUAUAAUACGGGCGUGAGGGCCUAGCCCCCCAGCUUCGACUGAGUUCCAGCCCUCUUUAAAUAU
This 823-nucleotide small RNA is filed under the name Malus domestica (apple). Its description in RNAcentral is "sRNA MD03G0229100". Lineage: Eukaryota; Viridiplantae; Streptophyta; Magnoliopsida; Rosales; Rosaceae. The record is from RNAcentral.